AUUUUAUUAGUAUAAUAUAGUACCGCUAAUUUCCAAUUAGAAAGUUUUCAAUAAAUAAAAUA
This 62-nucleotide transfer RNA is filed under the name Ornithodoros zumpti. RNAcentral describes it as "tRNA-Gly". The record is from RNAcentral. Lineage: Eukaryota; Metazoa; Arthropoda; Arachnida; Ixodida; Argasidae.